Molecule: ribosomal RNA, 465 nt
Filed under: Comamonas sp. R-28234
Lineage: Bacteria; Pseudomonadati; Pseudomonadota; Betaproteobacteria; Burkholderiales; Comamonadaceae
Description: bacterial SSU rRNA
Rfam family: Bacterial small subunit ribosomal RNA
Source: RNAcentral
UGAUCCCUGGCUCAGAUUGAACGCUGGCGGCAUGCCUUACACAUGCAAGUCGAACGGUAACAGGUCUUUCGGGAUGCUGACGAGUGGCGAACGGGUGAGUAAUACAUCGGAACGUGCCUAGUAGUGGGGGAUAACUACUCGAAAGAGUGGCUAAUACCGCAUGAGAUCUAUGGAUGAAAGCAGGGGACCUUCGGGCCUUGUGCUACUAGAGCGGCCGAUGGCAGAUUAGGUAGUUGGUGGGAUAAAAGCUUACCAAGCCUGCGAUCUGUAGCUGGUCUGAGAGGACGAUCAGCCACACUGGGACUGAGACACGGCCCAGACUCCUACGGGAGGCAGCAGUGGGGAAUUUUGGACAAUGGGGGAAACCCUGAUCCAGCAAUGCCGCGUGCAGGAUGAAGGCCUUCGGGUUGUAAACUGCUUUUGUACGGAACGAAAAGUCUUGGGCUAAUACCCUGGGAUCAUGAC